GUAAUGAAAUCAGGCGGAAUACGUGCCGGCUCGAUCUCUCGUGCCGGUAACCCGGGUUCGAAUCCCGGUGGGAUCACCA
This 79-nucleotide transfer RNA is filed under the name Desulfosarcina sp. RNAcentral describes it as "tRNA-OTHER". The record is from RNAcentral. Lineage: Bacteria; Pseudomonadati; Thermodesulfobacteriota; Desulfobacteria; Desulfobacterales; Desulfosarcinaceae.